This 305-nucleotide ribosomal RNA is filed under the name uncultured bacterium. Its description in RNAcentral is "partial 16S ribosomal RNA". It matches the Rfam family "Bacterial small subunit ribosomal RNA", at positions 508 to 807 of the family's 1533-position model. The record is from RNAcentral.
ACAGCAGUCGCCGCGGGAAAACGAAGGUCCCGAGCGUUGUUCGGAAUCACUGGGCGUAAAGGGAGCGUAGGCGGCGUGGUAAGUCAGAUGUGGAAUCCCGGGGCUCAACCCCGGAACUGCAUCCGAUACUGCCAUGCUAGAGGAUUGGAGAGGUAGCUGGAAUUCUUGGUGUAGCAGUGAAAUGCGUGGAGAUCAUGAGGAACACUCGUGGCGAAAGCGAGCUACUGGACAAUAACUGACGCUGAAGCUCGAAGGCCAGGGUAGCGAAAGGGAUUAGAUACCCGAGUAGUCCCUGUCUCUUAUAC